RNAcentral lists this ribosomal RNA (116 nucleotides) under Candidatus Equadaptatus faecalis. The record is from RNAcentral. Lineage: Bacteria; Thermotogati; Synergistota; Synergistia; Synergistales; Synergistaceae.
UUCGGUGGCCAUAGAGGGGAGGACACACCCGGUCCCAUGCCGAACCCGGCAGUUAAGCUCCCCAUCGCCGAUGGUACUGCAGAGGGUAUCUGUGGGAGAGUAGGUCGCCGCCGAGC